UCGGUACCUCAUCUCAAGUAGAGAAUCCCUGGCCGAAUUUCCUCCCCUCUCCUCUCUCUCAAAUCAUCCUCCUUGCUAUUUGGUGUUUGUAAGCCAUUAGAGGAGUUACAAUUAUGACUCUAGAGCUCCAAGACAACAAGAUCAAACAAGAGAUUCAAAGGUUUUAUACACAUACCACUAAUCGAUAACCAUGGCAUUUAACCUUAGUUUCAAGGUUCGAUUAUAGGUUUUCUAUAUGUAAGAAUGAAAGGUUUGAUUUCAAUUUUUUCUGAUUUGAAUGCACUUUUGAAGGUAUGCGAACAACCAUAUAUAAGUGGUUUUUAUUUAAGUUUAUUACUUGAGAAUGUUAAAUGUUACAUAGAUUUGUACAUCUUUGUUAUUUUGAUUUUAAGGUUGAAAUCUGUAUAUGUAUCUUUUUUUUCCGAUUCAGUGAAAUCCCAUGAAAAUACAUAUGGAAGAAAUUUGUGAUGAGUUAUGUUAAGAGGCUUGUAACUUUCUACUGCCCAGGGAAUUCAAUUAGAAAUAGGAUUUUGCUAUGGUUCCAAUGUGAAGGUUGCAAGCAUGUCUUUCAAUAACAAAUUAAGGUAUAUAUGACAACUACAAAGAAGCAAAGCAUGCUUGAUGUUCUUCAUGAGCAGGGGAUGCUCCAUUGUAAUUUAACUCUCCUAAUAUUUUUAUUGAUUUAUAUACCAUUUGUGUCAAUUGAGUUGUUUGGUUAAUAACAUCUUGGUUAUAUGUAUCUGUAAAUAACUAGCUGGGUGAAUUGUUUGCUUGUAUAAAUAAAAAAAUCAAAGGUAUACUAAAGUAAAAGGAGU
This is a non-coding RNA of Lactuca sativa (garden lettuce), 815 nucleotides long. NCBI's taxonomy places the organism in Eukaryota, Viridiplantae, Streptophyta, Magnoliopsida, Asterales, Asteraceae. The record is from RefSeq and is a predicted model, not a curated record.